UCUGCAGAUACACCUGCUGUCUGCUGUUGUCUCUGGAGAUGGUGAAGCGGUUUUUCACUGACUCUGAGUAGUACAUGCUGCCGCUGCUAUCACUGAUAGUAGCAACCCAUUC
Non-coding RNA from Oryzias latipes (Japanese medaka), 112 nucleotides. The record is from RefSeq and is a predicted model, not a curated record. Lineage: Eukaryota; Metazoa; Chordata; Actinopteri; Beloniformes; Adrianichthyidae.